UACAGAGGUCUCAAGCGUUGUUCGGAUUCAUUGGGCGUAAAGGGUGCGUAGGUGGCGCUGUAAGUCGGGUGUGAAAUUUCGGAGCUUAACUCCGAAACUGCAUUCGAUACUGCGGUGCUUGAGGACUGGAGAGGAGACUGGAAUUCAUGGUGUAGCAGUGAAAUGCGUAGAGAUCCGGAGGAAUACCAGUGGCGCAAGCGGCGCUCUGGGUCGAGCCUGACACUGAGACGCGAAGGCAUGGGGAGCGAACGGG
This 253-nucleotide ribosomal RNA is filed under the name uncultured bacterium. Its description in RNAcentral is "partial 16S ribosomal RNA". It matches the Rfam family "Bacterial small subunit ribosomal RNA", at positions 524 to 776 of the family's 1533-position model. The record is from RNAcentral.